UACAGAGGUCCCAAGCGUUGUUCGGAUUCAUUGGGCGUAAAGGGUGCGUAGGCGGCGCGGUAAGUCGGGUGUGAAAUCUCGGAGCUUAACUCCGAAACUGCAUUCGAUACUGCCGUGCUUGAGGACUGGAGAGGAGACUGGAAUUUACGGUGUAGCGGUGAAAUGCGUAGAGAUCGUAAGGAAGACCAGUGGCGAAGGCGGGUCUCUGGACAGUUCCUGACACUGAGGCACGAAGGCCAGGGGAGCAAACGGG
RNAcentral lists this ribosomal RNA (253 nucleotides) under uncultured bacterium. RNAcentral describes it as "partial 16S ribosomal RNA". It matches the Rfam family "Bacterial small subunit ribosomal RNA", at positions 524 to 776 of the family's 1533-position model. The record is from RNAcentral.